Molecule: ribosomal RNA, 437 nt
Filed under: uncultured bacterium
Lineage: Bacteria
Description: partial 16S ribosomal RNA
Rfam family: Bacterial small subunit ribosomal RNA
Source: RNAcentral
AGCGAACGCUGGCGGCAGGCUUAACACAUGCAAGUCGAGCGGGCAUCCUUGUGGUGUCAGCGGCAGACGGGUGAGUAACGCGUGGGAACGUGCCCUUCGGUUCGGAAUAACUCAGGGAAACUUGAGCUAAUACCGGAUACGUGCGAGAGCAGAAAGGUUUAUCUGCCGAAGGAUCGGCCGGCGUCUGAUUAGCUAGUUGGUGAGGUUACGGCUCACCAAGGCGACGAUCAGUAGCUGGUCUGAGAGGAUGAUCAGCCACACUGGGACUGAGACGCGGCCCAGACUCCUACGGGAGGCAGCAGUGGGGAAUAUUGGACAAUGGGGGCAACCCUGAUCCAGCCAUGCCGGGUGAGUGAUGACGGCCUUAGGGUUGUAAAGCUCUUUUCUCCGGGACGAUAAUGACGGUACCGGAGGAAUAAGCCCCGGCUAACUUCGUG